ACCUGACUGGCUCAGUGGGUAGAGCAUAUGACUCUUUGUCUUGGGGUCAUGAGUUCAAGCCUCAUGUUGGGGG
Molecule: transfer RNA, 73 nt
Filed under: Felis catus (domestic cat)
Lineage: Eukaryota; Metazoa; Chordata; Mammalia; Carnivora; Felidae
Also listed under: 2 other names
Rfam family: tRNA
About the family: Transfer RNA (tRNA) molecules are approximately 80 nucleotides in length. Their secondary structure includes four short double-helical elements and three loops (D, anti-codon, and T loops).
Source: Rfam by way of RNAcentral